Molecule: long non-coding RNA, 291 nt
Filed under: Elaeis guineensis (African oil palm)
Lineage: Eukaryota; Viridiplantae; Streptophyta; Magnoliopsida; Arecales; Arecaceae
Description: long non-coding RNA (EGUI_LNC003339)
Source: RNAcentral
CGCCAACCUUGGGAUGCUUUACUCCUAACUCCACAACAGUUCCGAGAUUAAGCUUAACUUGAGUCUCUAGGUUUGAGAAUAAGAUGGGAUCCUUUAAUGUAGUGGAUGAUGAAUCACUAAUCAAAAAGUAGAUUUUUGAGAGAUUCUUUAUCAAUCUAAUGGUCGGUGAAUCACUAAUCAAAAAGCGAGUAGCCGUCAGAUUUAAUGAUUAAUAAAAAAUAAGAAAAAUAAUAUAAUCUUCUAUAAAUCUGGUUGCAUUGUGCAUGAUCUAUGGAUCGAGAUAAUUGGGAA